This 1052-nucleotide ribosomal RNA is filed under the name Salmonella enterica subsp. enterica serovar Rubislaw. RNAcentral describes it as "partial 23S ribosomal RNA". It matches the Rfam family "Bacterial large subunit ribosomal RNA", at positions 711 to 1760 of the family's 2925-position model. The record is from RNAcentral. Lineage: Bacteria; Pseudomonadati; Pseudomonadota; Gammaproteobacteria; Enterobacterales; Enterobacteriaceae.
AGACCCGAAACCCGGUGAUCUAGCCAUGGGCAGGUUGAAGGUUGGGUAACACUAACUGGAGGACCGAACCGACUAAUGUUGAAAAAUUAGCGGAUGACCUGUGGCUGGGGGUGAAAGGCCAAUCAAACCGGGAGAUAGCUGGUUCUCCCCGAAAGCUAUUUAGGUAGCGCCUCGUGAAUUCAUCUCCGGGGGUAGAGCACUGUUUCGGCUAGGGGGCCAUCCCGGCUUACCAACCCGAUGCAAACUGCGAAUACCGGAGAAUGUUAUCACGGGAGACACACGGCGGGUGCUAACGUCCGUCGUGAAGAGGGAAACAACCCAGACCGCCAGCUAAGGUCCCAAAGUCAUGGUUAAGUGGGAAACGAUGUGGGAAGGCCCAGACAGCCAGGAUGUUGGCUUAGAAGCAGCCAUCAUUUAAAGAAAGCGUAAUAGCUCACUGGUCGAGUCGGCCUGCGCGGAAGAUGUAACGGGGCUAAACCAUGCACCGAAGCUGCGGCAGCGACACUCAGGUGUUGUUGGGUAGGGGAGCGUUCUGUAAGCCUGCGAAGGUGGCCUGUGAGGGUUGCUGGAGGUAUCAGAAGUGCGAAUGCUGACAUAAGUAACGAUAAAGCGGGUGAAAAGCCCGCUCGCCGGAAGACCAAGGGUUCCUGUCCAACGUUAAUCGGGGCAGGGUGAGUCGACCCCUAAGGCGAGGCCGAAAGGCGUAGUCGAUGGGAAACGGGUUAAUAUUCCCGUACUUGGUGUUACUGCGAAGGGGGGACGGAGAAGGCUAUGUUGGCCGGGCGACGGUUGUCCCGGUUUAAGCGUGUAGGUGUGUGUUCCAGGUAAAUCCGGUUCACUUUAACACUGAGGCGUGACGACGAGGCACUACGGUGCUGAAGCAACAAAUGCCCUGCUUCCAGGAAAAGCCUCUAAGCAUCAGGUAACAUCAAAUCGUACCCCAAACCGACACAGGUGGUCAGGUAGAGAAUACCAAGGCGCUUGAGAGAACUCGGGUGAAGGAACUAGGCAAAAUGGUGCCGUAACUUCGGGAGAAGGCACGCUGACACGUA